RNAcentral lists this ribosomal RNA (500 nucleotides) under uncultured bacterium. Its description in RNAcentral is "partial 16S ribosomal RNA". It matches the Rfam family "Bacterial small subunit ribosomal RNA", at positions 30 to 523 of the family's 1533-position model. The record is from RNAcentral.
AUUGAACGCUGGCGGCAUGCUUUACACAUGCAAGUCGAACGGUAACAGGGUGCUUGCACCGCUGACGAGUGGCGAACGGGUGAGUAAUGCGUCGGAACGUGCCGAGUAGUGGGGGAUAACGCAGCGGAAGUUGUGCUAAUACCGCAUACGUACUGAGGUAGAAAGUGGGGGACCUUCGGGCCUCACGCUAUUCGAGCGGCCGACGUCUGAUUAGCUAGUAGGUGAGGUAAAGGCUCACCUAGGCGACGAUCAGUAGCGGGUCUGAGAGGAUGAUCCGCCACACUGGGACUGAGACACGGCCCAGACUCCUACGGGAGGCAGCAGUGGGGAAUUGUGGACAAUGGGCGAAAGCCUGAUCCAGCCAUGCCGCGUGUCUGAAGAAGGCCUUCGGGUUGUAAAGGACUUUUGUCAGGGAGGAAAUCCCUAGUGCUAAUAACACUGGGGGAUGACAGUACCUGAAGAAUAAGCACCGGCUAACUACGUGCCAGCCGCCGCGGUAA